GGANUUGCGNAUGGGGGAACCCUGACGCAGCAACGCCGCGUGGGUGAUGAAGGCCUUCGGGUCGUAAAGCCCUGUCAGGUGGAAAGAAACCUGUGGAUAUUAAUAACAUCCACAAUUGACGGUACCACCGGAGGAAGCACCGGCUAACUCCGUGCCAGCAGCCGCGGUAAUACGGAGGGUGCAAGCGUUGUUCGGAAUUAUUGGGCGUAAAGCGCGUGUAGGUGGUCGGGCAAGUCAGAUGUGAAAGCCUUCUGCUUAACAGAAGAAGUGCAUUUGAAACUGCUCGGCUAGAGUACGGGAGAGGAGAGUGGAAUUCCCGGUGUAGAGGUGAAAUUCGUAGAUAUCGGGAGGAACACCAGUGGCGAAGGCGGCUCUCUGGUCCGAUACUGACGCUGAGACGCGAAAGCGUGGGGAGCAAACAGGAUUAGAUACCCUGGUAGUCCACGCUGUAAACGAUGGGCACUAGGUGUAGGAGGUAUUGACCCCUUCUGUGCCGAAGCUAACGCAUUAAGUGCCCCGCCUGGGGAGUACGGCCGCAAGGCUAAAACUCAAAGAAAUUGACGGA
RNAcentral lists this ribosomal RNA (565 nucleotides) under uncultured bacterium. RNAcentral's name for it is "bacterial SSU rRNA". It matches the Rfam family "Bacterial small subunit ribosomal RNA", at positions 359 to 917 of the family's 1533-position model. The record is from RNAcentral.